RNAcentral lists this ribosomal RNA (160 nucleotides) under uncultured bacterium. RNAcentral describes it as "partial 16S rRNA". It matches the Rfam family "Bacterial small subunit ribosomal RNA", at positions 358 to 510 of the family's 1533-position model. The record is from RNAcentral.
GGAAUCUUCCACAAUGGACGCAAGUCUGAUGGAGCAACGCCGCGUGAGUGAAGAAGGGUUUCGGCUCGUAAAGCUCUGUUGUUAAAGAAGAACGUGGGUAAGAGUAACUGUUUACCCAGUGACGGUAUUUAACCAGAAAGCCACGGCUAACUACGUGCAG